This 489-nucleotide ribosomal RNA is filed under the name uncultured bacterium. RNAcentral describes it as "partial 16S ribosomal RNA". It matches the Rfam family "Bacterial small subunit ribosomal RNA", at positions 30 to 507 of the family's 1533-position model. The record is from RNAcentral.
AUUGAACGCUGGCGGCAGGCCUAACACAUGCAAGUCGAACGGUAACAGGAAGAAGCUUGCUUCUUUGCUGACGAGUGGCGGACGGGUGAGUAAUGUCUGGGAAACUGCCUGAUGGAGGGGGAUACUACUGGAAACGGUAGCUAAUACCGCAUAACGUCGCAAGACCAAAAAGGGGGACCUUCGGGCCUCUUGCCAUCGGAUGUGCCCAGAUGGGAUUAGCUAGUAGGUGGGGUAACGGCUCACCUAGGCGACGAUCCCUAGCUGGUCUGAGAGGAUGACCAGCCACACUGGAACUGAGACACGGUCCAGACUCCUACGGGAGGCAGCAGUGGGGAAUAUUGCACAAUGGGCGCAAGCCUGAUGCAGCCAUGCCGCGUGUAUGAAGAAGGCCUUCGGGUUGUAAAGUACUUUCAGCGGGGAGGAAGGGAGUAAAGUUAAUACCUUUGCUCAUUGACGUUACCCGCAGAAGAAGCACCGGCUAACUCCGUG